UAGAGGGUUAAGGCAAGGACAUCCACUCUCGGUCUUAUUGUUUGUGUUAGUGAUGGAUACCUCACCAGAACAGUUAACGCAAUGAGCAACCUUCCUAAGUUUAAAUUUCGUCCUAUGUGUGAGACUUUAAAACUAACUCAUUUAAUAUUUGUAGAUAAUUUAAUGAUAUUUUGCAAAGGGAGAAUUAAUUAUAUCAAGAGAGUAUUGGAGGCUCUGAACCACUUCAGCACAAUGUGACAGGGUUGUAAGCAAAUAUGGAAAAAACUAGCAUAUUCUUGGCAGAAAUGGAUAUGUGAAGAAGGCAGAGAUUGUGACUUACAUUGGUUUCUUAAUAAGAAGUCUUCCUAUUAGAUACCUUGGACUUCCUUUAUCUUCCCAGAAGUGGAGUAAAAUAGAUUGUCACCAACUAGUUGAAAAGGUCACUGCUAGAAUCACCAUUGCUUAGUAUAAAUCAUUAAUACUGUGUUAUUCUCUAUCUAUAACUUUUGGGGGUCUAUUUUCAUAUUAUCCUAGAGUGUGGUAAAGGAGGUUGAUAGUAAAUAUCGAGAGUACUUAUGGGGGAUAAAUGUGGAAUACAAGAAGAUUGCUCUGGCAUCCUGGGAAAAGGUUGUGUUUCAAAGAAAUAUGGAGGUUUGAACAUAAGGAGUUGUCAAUAGUGGAAUAUAGCAGCUGUAGAAAAAUUACUUAGGCAAUUAGCAAAAAAAAAAUAUCCUUUGGGUUAGAUGGGUGCUUGGUCUUUAUAUAAAGAAUGAUGUGCAUAUUUGAGGCCACAUACCACCAGUAGAUAGUAGUUGGUACUGGAAGAAUUUGAACUCCUUAAAGAGUAUAAUGCAAUAAUGGUAUCAAGGGGAUAAAUAUUUGCUCACUCACAAUGGGAAAUAUUCCGUGUCUACUGGUUAUCAAGUAAUGUUAUCGGGAUUUUUGAAGAUGCAGGAAUUUGAGUUAGUAUGGAUAAAAGUCAUGCAACCAAAACACAAAUUCAUAUUAUGGUUGGCAAGCUAGAAUAGACUACUAACAAAAGCGAGAUUAUUGAAACUGAAUAUUCCCGUAGCUGAUGCAACUUGUUGUUUAUGUGAUGAGCCAUCUCUUUGUUGAAUGUAAAUGGAUAUCUAAAGUAAGACACGGAGUGAAGACAUGGUCCAAUCUAUCAAUCUAGUGACUAGGAGCGAAGCAACAUACACAGUGGAUACAAAGAAGACGUUGGAGGAAACUGAAAAAGGAGAUAAUUACAACCUUAUCGGGAGCUAUGAUCUAUACUAUUUGGCAGGUUAGAAAUUGAAAGUUGUCUAGAAAUACCAUGUUAGAACGUUUGUUAUUACACAAAUCCUAUAAGGACUAGACUAGACAUGAUACAAUGCUCUAUGGGAGCACAUAAAUGUAGAGAGUUAGUUCAUAGACUUUGUAGUUAGUCGAUGUGGUUGGUCUUGAUGAGGCUUAAACUGACUAGAGGCAUUCUUCCUAGAAGGUGGUCCUUUUAGUCCUAGGUGCUCUUUUUGCAUAAAUAUUCUUUUGUUACCAAUGAUAAUUUCACAGUUAUUACCAAAAAAAUUAUGAAAAUUUUAUAAACUUCCGUUAUAAUAGAAAUUAAGAAGAUAUACUUUAAUAAAUCUUUUUAUGGAACAACAUGCAAAGUGAUAGUAUGUAUGAAGUCGAAGAUUCAGUCAAUGAAUGUUAUAUUUUGAAUUGAGACCUAAACAUGCUCAUAAGAACUUAUUACCCAAUUUCUCUAUAAUACGUAAUCAGUAUCUUUUUUUAAAAGAAAACUAUAAUUAUUUUUCUUUUUUUUAAAAAAACUUUUUUUAAGUUAGAGUUAAGUAUGAAUUAUCAACAACUUACCCUACCAAUUAGUAAAAUUGAACUCCUAUUCAAGAAGCAUCAAACCCUUUAAACACAAUAUUGAUCGAUAAUGUGCAUUUAUGAGUUGAGUUUCUUUUGUUUUUAAACAAAAAAUUAAAUAGAAAAAAUCGUAAGAAUUUUGUAAUUUAGUAUAUGGUAUAACAUAGACAUGUCACAAAAGUGGAAUUGUUGAAAUAUCUUCAAGACUUUUAAGAGUGAAUAUGAUGAAUAUACAGGUCGACAUGCUACAUGAUUGAUCAAUCUACCAAAUAUUAAAAGGCAAAAAAUCAUUGAAUAGUUAAUUCAUAUAAUUUAUGUAUUCAAAAUUAUUGGCAAUAACUUUACUUAUUUGGUGUCAAACUAACGAAUAAGGUCAAUAUAUACAACUAAUGCAUUUAAAAGCAUGUCCCUGACUUUCUUUGGGAAUUAAUUCAUCUCAUUUUUUUAAUGAAGUGCUGCUAUUUUUUUUCACAUGAUUAAUUAGGAGAAUAGAAAAUAUCUAACUAGACAACAAUGACUAGAAGAUCGAUGAAUUCAAAUCACGAAUGAAGUGUUUCACAAACAUGGUCCUCCCUUUUAAAGUAAUUUUUACUUUUGCAAGAUCUCUAGUCUGGCUAGCUUAGCUGAUUAGAAGUAAAUGAUUUAGAGUUGAUAAUUAGUUUUAAGUUUUGAACUUAUUUUAUAAUAUACAAUUACCUGUUUAAAUAAAAUAAUGAAACUUCAUAAUAUAUAGUUUGUGAGUUUGAUAAAAUAAUAUUAUUAGGCAUUUCUUCUAUUAAAAAGACUGUUGAUCAAGGUGAUUACAGAAGCUAAAUUAUGGUUACUAAUCAUAAUAGUCAUUAGGCAAUAAAACAGUAAAGUAGUUAGUUAUAACUAACUGUACAACUCACCUCUAACCAACUAGUAGUUAGUUACUUAGAUCAAGAUAGGAUCAUUAUAUAUAUCUGAUGUAUUCAUCAUUAUUGAAAGAAUUUGAAUAAUAAUACACUCUCAUUUUACUCUAUAAUCUUCUUCUUUACUACUUCUCCUUCUAGUCUAUGAUUGUUUGAUCUUGUUCAAAUGAUUCAGAGAUACUGAAUCUAUCUAAAUUCUUCAUGGUAUCAAAGCGGGAAGCUCGUGAUAACAUAUUCAUCUUCUCUUUCUUAUCUCGAGUCUAUCUGUGAAAUUAACAGAUAUUCAAUUCUCAUCUCUUUGAUUUCUCUGGGUUUUUGAUUCAUCUGGACAGUUAAGUUCUUAAAAGGUCUGAAGAAAAAGAAAAUCCAAGAACAAUGUUUUUAAGUAAUAAUAACAACAAUCGAUCUACAGAGUUCACAUCUUCUCAUACCUCUAGUAGUGUAUUUGGGAAUUCUUCAGUGAAUACUGGUAAACAACGUGCUAUUGAUCUCAAUCAUCCUCCCUAUCUAACAACUAGUAAUGUAAGUGGUACUUCUAUCAUCUCUACUCAAUUAGUCGGUGGUGAAAAUUACUUGGUAUGGAGUAAAUCUAUGGGAAUUGCUCUCCUAGGAAGAAAUAAAUUGGAAUUUGUUGAUGGUAGUCUGAGUAAAGAUGCUUUCCCAAUUGAGUUGCAUAAUUAGUGGGAGAGGGUGAAUGCUAUAGUCUUAUCUUAGCACAUUAAUCUAGUCUCAAAUAGUCUAGUGGCUGGAGUUGUAUAUGCAUCAAUUGCUAGUGAGGUAUGGACAAAUUUAAGAGAAAGAUUCAAUAAGAUUGAUGGUUCAAGAACCUACAGUAUACAUCAAGAAAUUGCUUCCAUUACUCAAGGAGUGUAAUCUGUGGCUGUGUAUUUUUCAAAAUUGAAAGCAUUAUGGGAUGAGUUUGAGUCAAUGGUGCCUUCCCCUGCAUGUUCAUGUGAAAGGUCUAGGGACUUUAUUUUGUAUUUGCAAAGAUUAAAAUUGUAUCAAUUUUCAAUGGGGUUAAAUGAUACCUAUAGCCAAGCAAGAAGUCAGAUCUUGUUAAUGUCCCCCUUACCCUUGGUAAAGCAAGCUUAUGCAAUAAUUAUAAGUGAUGAAAAUCAGAAGACAAUUUCUCAAUCUCUUAGAAGUGUUGGUCUUCUUGGAGCCACCCCUGAUAUGACUGAUGCAAUUGCAAUAUACUCAAGGGGUGGGAUGCAAAAAAGAAAGAAACAUAAUCCAAAUGUGGUGUGUGUCACUUCAAACUUACAGAAUAUUAUAUGAGAGAUUGUUACAGACUGAUUGGUUAUCCCACAGGACAUCCUAAACAUAAUGAGAAAAGAAAUCUUCAUCAAGGGUAUGGAUCAAAUACUAAUAUCAUCGUUGUUCACUGAUUCUGAAUUAUUUAUGAAUCAUAUUGUUGGUCUAUUGAAUCCUCAAGUGUUUGGUACAAGUUUUUCCCAUUUUGAGUAAUAAUAUGUAUCUGUAUUUUAGUUUUUGUGGUUGCAUGUGUUAUGAAAGUUACUAUUAUGGAGAUUUUUCAUGUAUUGUUGUUUAUUUUCUCUGAUUUUGAAUUAUUGAUUGAGAUUAUAUUUUUAUAUCGGUUCGUGUUUUAGACCUAAAAGAUGAUAUUCCUUUAGCUGGACCCCUUAUGCUAAUUUCUGCCUUCGUCAAUAUUGAAGAGUCAUCGACUCCCAUAUGGUUGAAAAUGGAUGAUCAUUUUCCUUCGGCUAAGAUAUAUUAAAAGAAUAUUCAGUGGUUCAUCAAUGUGGUUUAUUGUGCAAAUGAUUUACUUAUUACUGAUUAUGGGUUCUUACGGGGCCUGGAUGUUCGUCGAUCGCCUUUGGAUUAGCUGAGGAACUUGGACCUUUUCAUAUUGAGAAAGACAAGAAGAUAUUUAACUGGAAUCCAUAUUCUUGGAACUUAGGACGAAGAUGACAGAGGAAACACAAAUGAGGUAUUAUCCAUAUACAUCAGCAAUGGCUGAAUAAAAGUGACAAAGUAUGGUAAGUAUCUUUACUCCAAAUUUUGAUUAAAUGAAUUUAUUUCAACAAGUGAUGGUUGAAUCAGAAGUAGUAUGACAAAAAAAAUACUGUCUCAUAACUGAACAACACUACAGGUUGACUCAGUGACUUAGGGUUUCAACUUCAACUCCUAAGACAUUAUAUUUUUAUUUUUUGAACCAUCUUAAUGAAUAUCCUGGAUUCGUCACCUGAACUUAUUAGACAUGAAAUGCAAAUGUCAUGUUUACUUCGAUUAGUUUUUCUCAACAUUACUGAAUUUGUUUAUUUGUUUUCUUUCAUUACUUUAAAGAUGCAGGGGAAUUACUUCUUCUCCACAAAAGAGUGGAGCACCUUUGCAGCAGAUUAAUUGGGCAAAGUUAAAAGAGAAAGCCAUAGGUUGGAGCUGCACUAUCAAAUCUUCAGUCAAGAAAAAGAAGUGGGUACAAAAAAUUAAUCAAAUGUUUAACAUAUUUUCAAACACUUGGGAGUAAUUAGAGGUUCUUAUGUUGAAUUGGUAACAACAUUUGAUGUUGGACCUAAUUAACGUGUGGAGUGAUGAUACAUCAGUGAGGCUAUUUGUACGCAGCCAGAUUAGUUGUAUUGAUUUAUGAAGGAUUACACAGAUGAAGCAGUUCAUUCUCUUUUACCAUGCCUCUUAUGCUUGAGAUACAUGCAUCUCAGAAGACAAGAUGCUCAAAGAUCCAUGCAAACUUUAUGCCCCAGGUCCCCUCUACCACAUUGUUGAGAGGAAACCUUUCAGGUAUUUUCAGACUGCCUUCGUAUAUGGGUACGCGUCUUUCCAAUAUGAUAAUAUAGGAAAAGGCGCCAACCCUAUAGGUAAGGUUGGUCGUCUACGUCUAUUUCUCUUACUUUUAUUGGGGUUUCCAGAGUUAGAAUGUAAAAAGCCUCAAGAGACGGAGUUCUCAUUAGAUAGGAUGCUACAUGAAAUUAUCUCAAGUUAUUUAUAUGAAAUGACCUGCCCAUUUAUAUGUAAAAAGAUAAGUUUAGACACAAUCCAUUAAAUAAACAAAUUAGAAUAAGCUUUUUUUUUAUGAUGGUGGUGGCUGGGCCAGCUUGCAUACCUUGACUAUUCUUCUGGUUGUCCGCUAUUUUCCACAAACACAGGUACCAGGUAACUCAGUCCACCAAGGUUUGAAUAGAUGAUAAUCACCUAGCAUUUUUUGCCUCUGCUGGGAUCUGAACCAUUUAUUGUACUUUAUAGGUCAAUACUAUUACGUUUCUGUUUUGAGUAAAAGCAUCUAUUCCGGCAGGUUUGGCAUAAAUGUCGCCAUAAUGGUUUGCGUAGUACAAUAUUAUCAAUAGUCAUACCAUUUUGCACUUUAGUCUUUUGUAGUCUACUAUUAGGUGCAUGAUCGCAACCUUAGAUUCCUAUUUUACCAUGUCUGUCCAUUAAAACAGAUGUGGGUGAUUUCCACCUAUUGUAAGGACUGACGUUCCAGUGGAUGGGAGAUUUGAGCACAUUGUUCUCUCUUGUAAUGCUACUUCUGAUCAUGCAAUAAUUUGGACACAGAGAGAAGCAAGAAGUGCUCUCAAAACCGCCUUGGAAGGCACUUAUGGUCUACUUCCAUCAUCAGUAAGAUAGUUUAUCAGUGCAAUCCUUCUUGGCACAAGUUCAUCACUCUUAAGGGUGGUUGAAUACAAGUUGCAGCUCUUUGAGUCUUGAUAAGGAUUUGUUGAUGCAAGAGAUAGAUCAUGUGAUGGAAAUUCCAGCAAAGCAAAGGAUGGAGCGACAAUAGACAUUAGAGCUGUCAAUACGGGUUGGCCCAGCCCAUCUGGGCUAGCCCAUACGGGUUUUGAGUUUGACGGGUCAGGCCGAGCUGGUCCAUUUAAAUGACGGGCCAAAAAACAUCAAGCCCAUUUUUAAAAAAAUAAUAUUUUAUAAUUUUAUUUUAUACUGUUAAUAAAUAUAAAUAUUUAUCACACAACACAUAGUAUUAAUGUUUGUUAAUCAAAAGGGAGCCAGAGCUCGAAUCACCCCAAGUAGGAAGAAAACGAAGAGGUAGGACUACUCAAUCGGAAACAUCACGGUUGAAAGUCGAUGACGCGUUGAGGGAGAUAUAGCGAAGAGGAGGCGGCUAGUUGAACUAAGGAAAUUAGGAAAGUGAAGAGUACCAUGUACUCACUAUGUUUUAGUGGUAGAUAUUUAAUUAUUUUAUUAUUUAUUAGAUAAACUUUUUAGUUUUCAUUUUCUUUGUUAAUGGAACUGGUCAAUGGUCAUCAUUGGACUUGAUUGUUUUUUAACUCUUUUAUUAUUUUUCAGUAUUUUAUUUUAUUUUUAAAUUAUUUAUUAUAUGACUGACGGGUUGGCUCAACCCACAUUUCUCAAGCCUACGGGCCAUGGGCUUAUCUGGGUUGGGCAGGCCGAGCUGGCCCACCGGGCCUUGGCCCAUAUUGACGGCUCUAUCAGACAUUAACUGGAGAGCAGAUUUAAGAUUUGUUUUACACCCUUCUUUCUUGUUCUUAUAAUGGACAACUUAUACUGGAUUCAUCUGUCUCUCUCUCAUCUCAAGUACUGCUCAACAUAUCAUUAUUAAUGCACGGAUGCAACUUCGUUGCCAACAACCGUAUGAAUUCACAUUUUCAGUUUUGACACUUUUAGUACCAACAAAUGUUAUAUCAAUGCAAUACUUUUAAAAUUUGUACAAAUAAGCAAGUCUUACCAAUGUAACAAUGUAAUCUUUGUUCCACAUCAUAUGAAGCAUAACAUUAUAUCAUGUAACAUGACAUGACUUACUAUUUCACAUACUAAUACUAUUUUC
Long non-coding RNA from Capsicum annuum, 7506 nucleotides. RefSeq lists it as uncharacterized. The transcript has 6 exons. Lineage: Eukaryota; Viridiplantae; Streptophyta; Magnoliopsida; Solanales; Solanaceae. The record is from RefSeq and is a predicted model, not a curated record.